This 373-nucleotide long non-coding RNA is filed under the name Ananas comosus (pineapple). RNAcentral describes it as "long non-coding RNA (ACOM_LNC029684)". The record is from RNAcentral. Lineage: Eukaryota; Viridiplantae; Streptophyta; Magnoliopsida; Poales; Bromeliaceae.
ACCCCUCAUUUUUAAAGCAAUAAAUUGAAAUAGGCUAAAUUACAGAAAACCCCCCUAUAAUAACCCGCUUUUUCACUUUCCCCCCUGACAUUUAAAAACCUACACUUUGCCCCCUUGUAAAAUGAAAAAUGUGCACUUCACCCCUACCGUUAGGGUUCCGUCAGGGGUUCUGUUAAGAAAUAUUUUUUUAUACCGAAAAUACCCCUCCGCCUCUUCUCUGAUGCUUCGCUCCCUCCGGCUCGCCGCUUCGCCGCCUCGCCGCCUCGCCGUCCUCCACUGCUUCGCCCUCGCCCACAACUGCUUCGUCCUCCUCCGCCGCCUCGCCUUCGCCUUCGUUGUCCCUGCCUACCUCUCCAUCAACACCCAUCUUCAU